CCAAUAUCGUGAUGCUUCGGUUCCUUCGAUUCAGGUCGGAGGCUAAGAGGGAAGCCGGUGAAAAUCUGGCACUGCCCCCGCAACUGUGAGCGGUGAGCAAGGUUGAAGUCGCCACUGAAAGUGUGCUUUUGGGAAGGCCAGCCAAGCAGAGAACCGCGAGUCAGGAGACCUGCCGCAGGCGCAAAAAAUUA
RNAcentral lists this non-coding RNA (191 nucleotides) under Shimia marina. The record is from RNAcentral. Lineage: Bacteria; Pseudomonadati; Pseudomonadota; Alphaproteobacteria; Rhodobacterales; Roseobacteraceae.